CCUACGGGUGGCAGCAGUAGGGAAUCUUCCACAAUGGGCGAAAGCCUGAUGGAGCAACGCCGCGUGGGUGAAGAAGGUCUUCGGAUCGUAAAACCCUGUUGUUAGAGAAGAAAGUGCGUGAGAGUAACUGUUCACGUUUCGACGGUAUCUAACCAGAAAGCCACGGCUAACUACGUGCCAGCAGCCGCGGUAAUACGUAGGUGGCAAGCGUUAUCCGGAUUUAUUGGGCGUAAAGGGAACGCAGGCGGUCUUUUAAGUGUGAUGUGAAAGCCUUCGGCUUAACCGGGGUAGUGCAUUGGAAACUGGGAGACGUGAGUGCAAAAGAGGAGAGUGGAACUCCAUGUGUAGCGGUGAAAUGCGUAGAUAUAUGGAAGAACACCAGUGGCGAAAGCGGCUCUCUGGUCUGUAACUGACGCUGAGGUUCGAAAGCGUGGGUAGCAAACAGGAUUAGAUACCCCGGUAGUC
RNAcentral lists this ribosomal RNA (465 nucleotides) under uncultured bacterium. Its description in RNAcentral is "partial 16S ribosomal RNA". It matches the Rfam family "Bacterial small subunit ribosomal RNA", at positions 338 to 795 of the family's 1533-position model. The record is from RNAcentral.